UAUUGGACAAUGGGGGGAACCCUGAUCCAGCGACGCCGCGUGAGCGAAGAAGUAUUUCGGUAUGUAAAGCUCUAUCAGCAGGGAAGAAGAUGACGGUACCUGACUAAGAAGCUCCGGCCAAAUACGUGCCAGCAGCCGCGGUAAUACGUAUGGAGCAAGCGUUAUCCGGAUUUACUGGGUGUAAAGGGAGCGUAGGCGGCCUGGCAAGUCUGGUGUGAAAUACCGGGGCCCAACCCCGGGACUGCAUUGGAAACUGCCAGGCUGGAGUGUCGGAGGAGCAAGCGGAAUUCCUAGUGUAGCGGUGAAAUGCGUAGAUAUUAGGAAGAACACCAGUGGCGAAGGCGGCUUGCUGGACAGUAACUGACGUUGAGGCUCGAAAGCGUGGGGAGCAAACAGG
Molecule: ribosomal RNA, 397 nt
Filed under: uncultured bacterium
Lineage: Bacteria
Description: bacterial SSU rRNA
Rfam family: Bacterial small subunit ribosomal RNA
Source: RNAcentral